CACGGGAGCAAUCCUGGUGGCGAGUGGCGAACGGGUGAGUAAUAUAUCGGAACGUGCCCAGUCGUGGGGGAUAACGCAGCGAAAGCUGUGCUAAUACCGCAUACGAUCUACGGAUGAAAGCGGGGGAUCGCAAGACCUCGCGCGAUUGGAGCGGCUGAUAUCAGAUUAGCUAGUUGGUGGGGUAAAGGCCUACCAAGGCGACGAUCUGUAGCUGGUCUGAGAGGACGACCAGCCACACUGGAACUGAGACACGGUCCAGACUCCUACGGGAGGCAGCAGUGGGGAAUUUUGGACAAUGGGCGCAAGCCUGAUCCAGCAAUGCCGCGUGCAGGAUGAAGGCCUUCGGGUUGUAAACUGCUUUUGUACGGAACGAAAAGGUCUCUCUUAAUACGAGAGAUUUAUGACGGUACCGUAAGAAUAAGCACCGGCUAACUACGUGCCAGCAGCCGCGGUAAUACGUAGGGUGCGAGCGUUAAUCGGAAUUACUGGGCGUAAAGCGUGCGCAGGCGGUUUUGUAAGACAGAUGUGAAAUCCCCGGGCUCAACCUGGGACCUGCAUUUGUGACUGCAAGGCUAGAGUACGGUAGAGGGGGGAUGGAAUUCCGCGUGUAGCAGUGAAAUGCGUAGAUAUGCGGAGGAACACCGAUGGCGAAGGCAAUCCCCUGGACCUGUACUGACGCUCAUGCACGAAAGCGUGGGGAGCAAACAGGAUUAGAUACCCUGGUAGUCCACGCCCUAAACGAUGUCAACUGGUUGUUGGGUCUUUACUGACUUCAUUACCAAACUUAACGCGUGAAGUUGACCGCCUGGGGAGUACGGCCGCAAGGUUGAAACUUCAAAGGAAUUGACGGGGACCCGCA
This 859-nucleotide ribosomal RNA is filed under the name Comamonadaceae bacterium. RNAcentral describes it as "bacterial SSU rRNA". It matches the Rfam family "Bacterial small subunit ribosomal RNA", at positions 72 to 925 of the family's 1533-position model. The record is from RNAcentral. Lineage: Bacteria; Pseudomonadati; Pseudomonadota; Betaproteobacteria; Burkholderiales; Comamonadaceae.